CCUCUAGCUCUGUGCCUGGGAGGCUGACCCCGGACUUUAGCAACAGACUCCUUUGCUGUCUUUCCGGACUUCAGCCAGCAGGAGGCUCCAGUGGGAGUUCAGAGAGUCCCCCUGGGAAUGCAGCAAAAUGUCCAGACAUCUGUGGGCAGAAUUCCAGAGCUUCUGAAGGAUGAGUGUGUCCUGUGGCUGAUGAACAAGGGAUUGGAAAACCUGUAACAGAAAGCAGGGCAAAGAGAAGUCAGGGCAAAGAGAGCCUCUGGGCCUUCUGAAGACCAAAGAGCUCUGCAGUGAGGCUCACAGCCCACGGGAACAAGAGCAAG
This is a long non-coding RNA of Pteropus alecto (black flying fox), 320 nucleotides long. RefSeq lists it as uncharacterized. The transcript is spliced from 3 exons. The record is from RefSeq and is a predicted model, not a curated record. NCBI's taxonomy places the organism in Eukaryota, Metazoa, Chordata, Mammalia, Chiroptera, Pteropodidae.